GGGGGACAUCGGCCCAGCGGACUGGACCUGCGGCUGGCACAGCGGCGGGUACACGGGAGCAGCGGCAUGGGGCGAGGGGUCGCUGCGUCGGCCAAGGCAUGGCAAAGUCGAGCUCGCAAGGUUCCAGUAUGGGUGCAGGCAGUCACGGUGUCCGUGGGCUUCUGAGGUUGCGACCACCGGUGCCCUAUAGAGAAGGCCCUCUAGCUUAUGAGCCCACCGUGGUGUGUUUGUGCAGCAAAAAGGCACCACGGUGGAUUUUAUGGAGUGAUGAUAAUCCAGGUCGGAGGUACUACAGAUGCAGCCGAGCAAGGGUACUUUGGUGCAUGUACGAUUUGAAUUGGCAUUGGAUUUGUUUGUUAUAUGCUGUAUAGACCGAUGGGGACUGUGGCUUCUAUGUGUGGUAUGAUCUUGAGCACACAACAUUUAUGAAGAAUUUACUUUUGGAUCUCCGUAAUGCUGUUUGGGAAUUGAGGAGCAAAGCGGAGGAUAUUGCUGAGUUGAAGCAAAACAAUGAACUGCUGUCCAGUGAGAAUAAAGAGAAGGUUGUAGUCAUAAAGGCACAAGAGAAGGAUCUGGAGGAGAAGAAUAAGCAAUUGGUACUCCUGGCUAACAAGAUCAGUUCAGGGAGUAGGUGUAGUUUAUUCUGUUGUAGCUUUAUAAUAUUACUUGUUGGCUUGUUCUUUGGCCUGAUGUUGGGUGCCAUGUGACAUAUAUGAAUACCCAUGUCUGGGAACAGAAGAACCAAAACAUGACUAGCCAUCUUGAAGCGAUUGAGACGGUCUUUGGUAUAUCUUUCUUGACUACGAAAUGAUUGUAUGAA
Molecule: long non-coding RNA, 820 nt
Organism: Panicum virgatum (switchgrass)
Lineage: Eukaryota; Viridiplantae; Streptophyta; Magnoliopsida; Poales; Poaceae
Exons: 2
Source: RefSeq, a predicted model, not a curated record